UGCCGGCCGAGCACUUCCGCGUGCACACACAGUCCCUGCAGGCAGGUGCAGCGCCUCUGAGCCCAGGACCGUACAGGUCACUUGCAGCACGCUCAGCACAAGUCUUCCCCAUGUAUCAUCCACGCUCGCAUGCCAGCAUUUCCGUUGUGAGCUGGAGUGUGCAGGCAGAAGGAAAUAUGAGGACAGGUUGGUAUCUACAAGGAAUGACCAUCAGUAACUGUGACGGAGAAGGAAAGAGUCCGCCAUUACCACCUUUCCUGGCAGGGAAUUCCAAAUCCUUAUUGCCCUAACAGUGAAGAACCCUUUCCUCUGUUGCGUACAGGAUUUUCUCUCCUCCUGCGUCACCGAGUGCCCACGUGUACUAAACAGUGUUCUUUUAAUAAAUAAUUCUUCUGAUAA
Molecule: long non-coding RNA, 399 nt
Organism: Pseudophryne corroboree (corroboree frog)
Lineage: Eukaryota; Metazoa; Chordata; Amphibia; Anura; Myobatrachidae
Exons: 3
Source: RefSeq, a predicted model, not a curated record